RNAcentral lists this ribosomal RNA (1130 nucleotides) under Vibrio alginolyticus. RNAcentral describes it as "bacterial SSU rRNA". It matches the Rfam family "Bacterial small subunit ribosomal RNA", at positions 41 to 1178 of the family's 1533-position model. The record is from RNAcentral. Lineage: Bacteria; Pseudomonadati; Pseudomonadota; Gammaproteobacteria; Vibrionales; Vibrionaceae.
GGGGGAGCCUACACAUGCAGUCGAGCGGAACGAGUUAUCUGAACCUUCGGGGAACGAUAACGGCGUCGAGCGGCGGACGGGUGAGUAAUGCCUAGGAAAUUGCCCUGAUGUGGGGGAUAACCAUUGGAAACGAUGGCUAAUACCGCAUGAUGCCUACGGGCCAAAGAGGGGGACCUUCGGGCCUCUCGCGUCAGGAUAUGCCUAGGUGGGAUUAGCUAGUUGGUGAGGUAAGGGCUCACCAAGGCGACGAUCCCUAGCUGGUCUGAGAGGAUGAUCAGCCACACUGGAACUGAGACACGGUCCAGACUCCUACGGGAGGCAGCAGUGGGGAAUAUUGCACAAUGGGCGCAAGCCUGAUGCAGCCAUGCCGCGUGUAUGAAGAAGGCCUUCGGGUUGUAAAGUACUUUCAGUCGUGAGGAAGGUGUUGUUGUUAAUAGCUGCAUCAUUUGACGUUAGCGACAGAAGAAGCACCGGCUAACUCCGUGCCAGCAGCCGCGGUAAUACGGAGGGUGCGAGCGUUAAUCGGAAUUACUGGGCGUAAAGCGCAUGCAGGUGGUUUGUUAAGUCAGAUGUGAAAGCCCGGGGCUCAACCUCGGAAUAGCAUUUGAAACUGGCAGACUAGAGUACUGUAGAGGGGGGUAGAAUUUCAGGUGUAGCGGUGAAAUGCGUAGAGAUCUGAAGGAAUACCGGUGGCGAAGGCGGCCCCCUGGACAGAUACUGACACUCAGAUGCGAAAGCGUGGGGAGCAAACAGGAUUAGAUACCCUGGUAGUCCACGCCGUAAACGAUGUCUACUUGGAGGUUGUGGCCUUGAGCCGUGGCUUUCGGAGCUAACGCGUUAAGUAGACCGCCUGGGGAGUACGGUCGCAAGAUUAAAACUCAAUGAAUUUGACGGGGCCCGCACAAGCGGUGGAGCAUGGUGGUUUAAUUCGAUGCAACGCGAGACCUUACCUACUCUUGACAUCCAGAGAACUUUCAGAGAUGGAUUGGUGCUUCGGACUCUGAGACAGUGCUGCAUGCCUGUCGUCAGCUCGUGUGUGAAAUGUGGGUAGUCCGCACGAGCGCACCCUAAUCUGUUGCAGCGAGUAUGUCAGACUCAGGAGACUGCGUGAUAAACCGGAGGAAGUUGGC